GACGAACGCUGGCGGCGUGCCUAAUACAUGCAAGUAGAACGCACAGUUUAUACCUUAGCUUGCUACACCAUAGACGGUGAGUUGCGAACGAGUGAGUAACGCGUAGGUAACCUGCCUGGUAGCGGGGGGUAACUAUUGGAAACGAUAGCUAAUACCGCAUAAUAUUGAUUAUUGCAUGAUAAUUGAUGGAAGGAUGCUAUUGCAUCACUACUAGAUGGACCGUCGUUGUAUUAGCUAGUAGGUGAGGUAACGGCUCACCUAGGCGACGAUACAUAGCCGACCGGAGAGGGUGAUCGGCCACCCUGGGACGGAGACACGGCCCAGACUCCUACGGGAGGCAGCAGUAGGGAAUCUUCGGCAAUGGGCGAAAGUCUGACCGAGCAACGCCGCGGGAGUGAAGAAGGUUGUCGGGUCGGAAAGCUCUGUUGUAAGAGAAGAACGGGUGUGAGAGUGGAAAGUUCACACUGUGACGGUAUCUUACCAGAAAGGGACGGCUAACUACGUG
RNAcentral lists this ribosomal RNA (505 nucleotides) under uncultured bacterium. RNAcentral's name for it is "partial 16S ribosomal RNA". It matches the Rfam family "Bacterial small subunit ribosomal RNA", at positions 28 to 507 of the family's 1533-position model. The record is from RNAcentral.